CCGUAUGUAAAAUCAAUCUCCAGGUUCGAGCGCUCGUGCCGCCUCUAUUUGCCGCCGUCCACCGCCAUGCCGUCGUCCGGUCGACCGCCCCCCAAACACUUCUCCCCUGCUCCCGGCUACCGCUCUCUUGUCCUCUGCGCCGUUCACACCGCGCGGCGCGGCGCGCCAUCCCCUGUUCCUCCUGGCUGCUGCACCUUCGUAAUUUUCUUUGAUGCUUUUUGGGUUUCCCCUGACGAGCUAAUUUAAUUGGAAUAGCGUGUGUGUGUGUAUCCAAUCAGAUAUCUACGGUAUUGUUGAGCUCCUAUUGAUGUAAUUUCCAAUUUCAUUUCAUAUUAUAGAAACAGAAGAUGAAGAGAUUAUUUUCAUCUAUGUCCGCAAUAGGGGUAUCUGCACCUAUCAUUUCAGGUGGAGGGAAUCAAGCACCUAAAGGGACUGGAUACAAACACAUAUAGGUCUCGCAAAGGGCUUUUACCUCAUCGAAGUGGUGUUGGUUUUCCUACUGUUGGUCAAGUUAUGGGAGGCACCAAUGAAGUAAUCAAUUGAUUUGGCACCGGCGAAGCUACGGCAUAGCACGCCGCUGGCCUCCAGCAACCGGCGCUCCGCACACAUCCCUGCCUCCCACGGCCAGAUGCUCGGACGGUCCCCCAUCACAUAGAUACACAACAGCGAGCUUCAGUUAUCUGAAUUUUCAGUUCAGUGUCGUGAUUUGGAUGGACGCCCGAACACAACAGCGAGGCCAGCUUCAGUUCUCUGAAUCUUCAGUUCCGUGUCGUGAUUUGGAUGGAAUUGGAGACCGUGUCCUUCUCCAACAUAAAUCAAUUUCCAAUGUAAUCGAGUUCGAGUCUAUGUUCUUCUCCAAUGCAAAAGCAUGUAGUGCCCGAUCCGGAUUGAACUUGGCUGUCAUAAGGAGGGAUCCUCGACCGGAACGUCCAUCAGGCCGCGUCCCUCGACCAGAAUGUCCAUCAAAUCCCAUCACAUUGCAACUUUCAGAGGAACAUCCAAUGUCACUGGCGGAGGAAAAGCAUCUGUCAAGCCGUACUAUGCCGAGUUCGCCGGCGGAAGAAGAACACCCGUCGAGCCCUCCAUCGCCUGAGGCGGCUACACCAGAGUGAUGGGAGGUAGAUUGAGCUGAUAAAUUUCUGCACCCACCUUGAGGUCCAUAACGUUCUCCUAAUUAUAUGGAGCCCAAUUCGUAUAGAUGUAUUUGUUUGAGGGAGAGGACUAUCUGUGAUCAGAAGCAACAUUAUGUGAUCAUCAUGUGUGCGAGAGAUGGCAAGAGUAUGUGAUAUGUAUUUCUGUGUACACUACUAAUAUGUAUUGACUGUUCAUGUUGAUACAGUAGGUUCAUGAUUGCUUAUGGAAACAAUAAAAUUACUUGAGAAGGAUUUUAUGAGUA
Aegilops tauschii subsp. strangulata is the source of this 1396-nucleotide long non-coding RNA. RefSeq lists it as uncharacterized. The record is from RefSeq and is a predicted model, not a curated record. NCBI's taxonomy places the organism in Eukaryota, Viridiplantae, Streptophyta, Magnoliopsida, Poales, Poaceae.